GCUAAUAUAACUCAAUCGGUAGAGUAAUUGAUUUGUAAUCAAUAAGUUGAGGGUUCAAAUCCUUCUAUUAGCU
This 73-nucleotide transfer RNA is filed under the name Nitzschia sp. PL1-4. RNAcentral describes it as "tRNA-Thr". It matches the Rfam family "tRNA". Rfam says of the family: Transfer RNA (tRNA) molecules are approximately 80 nucleotides in length. Their secondary structure includes four short double-helical elements and three loops (D, anti-codon, and T loops). Further hydrogen bonds mediate the characteristic L-shaped molecular structure. tRNAs have two regions of fundamental functional importance: the anti-codon, which is responsible for specific mRNA codon recognition, and the 3' end, to which the tRNAs corresponding amino acid is attached (by aminoacyl-tRNA synthetases). tRNAs cope with the degeneracy of the genetic code in two manners: having more than one tRNA (with a specific anti-codon) for a particular amino acid; and 'wobble' base-pairing, i.e. permitting non-standard base-pairing at the 3rd anti-codon position. The record is from RNAcentral. Lineage: Eukaryota; Bacillariophyta; Bacillariophyceae; Bacillariales; Bacillariaceae.